This 1771-nucleotide ribosomal RNA is filed under the name Pinus taeda (loblolly pine). RNAcentral's name for it is "SSU rRNA". It matches the Rfam family "Eukaryotic small subunit ribosomal RNA". Lineage: Eukaryota; Viridiplantae; Streptophyta; Pinopsida; Pinales; Pinaceae. The record is from RNAcentral.
CCUAAUUGAUUUUGCUAGUAGUCAUAUGCUUGUCUCAAUGAUUAAGCCAUGCAUGUCUAAGUAUGAACUAAUUUAGACUAUGAAAUUGUGGAUGGCUUAUUAAAUCAGUUAUAUUUUUUUGGAUGGUACCAUACUACUCAGAUAAGCAUAGUAAUUCUAGAGCUAAUACAUGCCGCAAGUCCCGACUCUUUGGAAGGGAUGCAUAUUUUAGAUAAAAGGUCGAUGCGGGCUUGCCCACUUCUCUGAUGAAUCAUGAUAACUCUUUGCAUCGCACAUCCCUUGUGCUUGUGAUUCCUUAUUCAAGUUUUUGUCCUAUCAACUUUCGAUGGUAGGAUACAGGCCUACCAUGGUGGUGAUGGGUGAUAGAGAAUUAGGGUUCGAUUCCAGAGAGAGAACUUGAGAAAUGGCUACCACAUCUAAGGAAGGCAGUAGGCGUGAAAAUUACCAAAUCCUGACAUGGGGAGGUAGUGACAAUAAAUAACAAUACUAGGCUCAUUAAGUUUGGUGAUUGGAAUGAAUACAAUCUAAAUCCCUUAACGAGGAUCAGUUAGAGGGAAAGUCUAGUUCCAACAGUCGUGGUAAUUCCAGCUCUAAUAGCGUAUAUUUAAUUUGUUGCAGUUAAAAAUCUCGUAGUUGGAACUUGGAUCGUAAAGGUUGGUCCGCGUAUUUGGUGUGCACCUUCCCUUCCAUCCCUUUUUUUGGUGGCAUGAUCCUAGCCUUAAUUGGCUAGGUCAUGGCUCAGACAUUGUUACUUUGAAAAAACUAGAGUGCUCAAAGCAAGCAUAUGGUCUGAAUACAUUAGCAUGGAAUAAUGUGAUAGGAGUCUGGUCCUAUUGUGUUGGCCCUCGGGACUGGAGUAAUGAUUAAUAGGGACUAUCAGGGGCAUUCAUAUUUCAUUACUAGAGGUGAAAUUCUUAGAUUUAUGAAAGACAGCCCACUGUGAAAGCAUUUUCCAAGGAAGUUUUCAUUAAUCAAGAAUGAAAGUUGGGGGCUUGAAUAUGAUCAGAUACCAUGAUAGUCUCAACCAUAAAUGAUGCCAACCAGGGAUAAGUAGAUGUUGCUCUAAGGACUCCACCAACACCUUCUGAGAAAUCAGAGUGUUUCGAGGGGAGUAUGGUUGCAAGGCUGAAACUUGAAGGUAUUGACGGAAUGGCACCACUAGGAGUGGAGCCUGCGACUUAAUUUGACUCAACAUGGGGAAACUUACCAGGUCCAGACAUAGUAGGGAUUGACAGAUUGAGAGCUCUUUCUUGAUUUUAUGGGUGGUGGUGCAUGUCUGUUCUUAGUUAGUGGAACAAUUUGUCUGUUUAAGCCUGAUAAUGAACAAGACCUCAACCUACUAACUAGCUACGUGAAGGUUCCCCUUUGUGACCAGCUUCUUAUAGGGACUAUGGUCAUUUAGGCCAUGGAAGUUUGAGGCAAUAAUAGGUCUAUGAUGCUCUUAGAUGUUCUAGGCUGCACGCCUGCUACACUAAUGCAACCAAGGAGUUUUUCUUCCUGAUUCGAUAGGAUCAGGAAAUCUUCUCAAAUUGCAUCAUGAUGGGGAUAGACCACUGUAAUUAUUGGUCUUCAAUGAGGAAUUCCUAGUAAGCACAUGUCAUCAACUCAUGUUGACUACAUCCUUGCCCUUUGUACACACCACCUGUCACACUGUAGGUUUUAACCCUGUACAAAAAUUACCAGCAUAUGAAUUCUAAAACACAGAAAAGAAAUAAUGCGAGAGAAUAACACUUAAAACACAUAUACACAUAUAUUUUCCCUUGUAUCCCAA